This 254-nucleotide ribosomal RNA is filed under the name uncultured bacterium. RNAcentral's name for it is "partial 16S ribosomal RNA". It matches the Rfam family "Bacterial small subunit ribosomal RNA", at positions 524 to 776 of the family's 1533-position model. The record is from RNAcentral.
UACGUAGGGUGCGAGCGUUGUCCGGAAUUAUUGGGCGUAAAGGGCUCGUAGGCGGUUUGUCGCGUCGGGAGUGAAAAACACCGGGCUUAACUCGGUGCUUGCUUUCGAUACGGGCAGACUAGAGGUAUGCAGGGGAGAACGGAAUUCCUGGUGUAGCGGUGAAAUGCGUAGAUAUCUGGAGGAACACCGGUGGCGAAGGCGGCAUCCUGGACCGGUAUUGACGCUGAGGCGCGAAAGCUAGGGGAGCAAACGGG